GGGUUGUGAGGUUAAGCGACUAAGCGUACACGGUGGAUGCCCUGGCAGUCAGAGGCGAUGAAGGACGUGCUAAUCUGCGAUAAGCGUCGGUGAGGUGAUAUGAACCGUUAUAACCGGCGAUUUCCGAAUGGGGAAACCCAGUGUGUUUCGACACACUAUCAUUAACUGAAUCCAUAGGUUAAUGAGGCGAACCGGGGGAACUGAAACAUCUAAGUACCCCGAGGAAAAGAAAUCAACCGAGAUUCCCCCAGUAGCGGCGAGCGAACGGGGAGGAGCCCAGAGCCUGAAUCAGUGUGUGUGUUAGUGGAAGCGUCUGGAAAGGCGUGCGAUACAGGGUGACAGCCCCGUACACAAAAAUGCACAUAUUGUGAGCUCGAUGAGUAGGGCGGGACACGUGGUAUCCUGUCUGAAUAUGGGGGGACCAUCCUCCAAGGCUAAAUACUCCUGACUGACCGAUAGUGAACCAGUACCGUGAGGGAAAGGCGAAAAGAACCCCGGCGAGGGGAGUGAAAAAGAACCUGAAACCGUGUACGUACAAGCAGUGGGAGCCUCUUAAUGGGGUGACUGCGUACCUUUUGUAUAAUGGGUCAGCGACUUAUAUUCUGUAGCAAGGUUAACCGAAUAGGGGAGCCGAAGGGAAACCGAGUCUUAACUGGGCGUUAAGUUGCAGGGUAUAGACCCGAAACCCGGUGAUCUAGCCAUGGGCAGGUUGAAGGUUGGGUAACACUAACUGGAGGACCGAACCGACUAAUGUUGAAAAAUUAGCGGAUGACUUGUGGCUGGGGGUGAAAGGCCAAUCAAACCGGGAGAUAGCUGGUUCUCCCCGAAAGCUAUUUAGGUAGCGCCUCGUGAAUUCAUCUCCGGGGGUAGAGCACUGUUUCGGCAAGGGGGUCAUCCCGACUUACCAACCCGAUGCAAACUGCGAAUACCGGAGAAUGUUAUCACGGGAGACACACGGCGGGUGCUAACGUCCGUCGUGAAGAGGGAAACAACCCAGACCGCCAGCUAAGGUCCCAAAGUCAUGGUUAAGUGGGAAACGAUGUGGGAAGGCCCAGACAGCCAGGAUGUUGGCUUAGAAGCAGCCAUCAUUUAAAGAAAGCGUAAUAGCUCACUGGUCGAGUCGGCCUGCGCGGAAGAUGUAACGGGGCUAAACCAUGCACCGAAGCUGCGGCAGCGACACUAUGUGUUGUUGGGUAGGGGAGCGUUCUGUAAGCCUGUGAAGGUGGCCUGUGAGGGUUGCUGGAGGUAUCAGAAGUGCGAAUGCUGACAUAAGUAACGAUAAAGCGGGUGAAAAGCCCGCUCGCCGGAAGACCAAGGGUUCCUGUCCAACGUUAAUCGGGGCAGGGUGAGUCGACCCCUAAGGCGAGGCCGAAAGGCGUAGUCGAUGGGAAACAGGUUAAUAUUCCUGUACUUGGUGUUACUGCGAAGGGGGGACGGAGAAGGCUAUGUUGGCCGGGCGACGGUUGUCCCGGUUUAAGCGUGUAGGCUGGUUUUCCAGGCAAAUCCGGAAAACCAAGGCUGAGGCGUGAUGACGAGGCACUACGGUGCUGAAGCGACAAAUGCCCUGCUUCCAGGAAAAGC
Molecule: ribosomal RNA, 1581 nt
Filed under: Escherichia coli
Lineage: Bacteria; Pseudomonadati; Pseudomonadota; Gammaproteobacteria; Enterobacterales; Enterobacteriaceae
Description: partial 23S ribosomal RNA
Rfam family: Bacterial large subunit ribosomal RNA
Source: RNAcentral